Hydra vulgaris (swiftwater hydra) is the source of this 273-nucleotide non-coding RNA. Lineage: Eukaryota; Metazoa; Cnidaria; Hydrozoa; Anthoathecata; Hydridae. The record is from RefSeq and is a predicted model, not a curated record.
GCUUCUUCUGUUACAACUGCUGCUUCUUCUGUUACAACUGCUGCUUCUUCUGUUACAAGCUCGAAGUCAUGGGAAGAUUUCCGAAAGUAUCGCUCCCAGCAUCCAGGCCCUCUAUCUAUGAGGGCCUUCCAUCGCUGGUGUUUGUAUGGGGACGACCAUCCCUCCUUUAGAUGGAGGGAUGGCACCCCAUACAACACGGGGAAUAGAGCGGAUGCUGGGAGGAGAAGACAACGUGGCUCAAAAGUUGUCAAUAUUUUUUUACAUUUUAAAAUG